GAUGAACGCUAGCUACAGGCUUAACACAUGCAAGUCGAGGGGCAGCAUGGUCUUAGCUUGCUAAGGCCGAUGGCGACCGGCGCACGGGUGAGUAACACGUAUCCAACCUGCCGUCUACUCUUGGACAGCCUUCUGAAAGGAAGAUUAAUACAAGAUGGCAUCAUGAGUCCGCAUGUUCACAUGAUUAAAGGUAUUCCGGUAGACGAUGGGGAUGCGUUCCAUUAGAUAGUAGGCGGGGUAACGGCCCACCUAGUCUUCGAUGGAUAGGGGUUCUGAGAGGAAGGUCCCCCACAUUGGAACUGAGACACGGUCCAAACUCCUACGGGAGGCAGCAGUGAGGAAUAUUGGUCAAUGGGCGAGAGCCUGAACCAGCCAAGUAGCGUGAAGGAUGACUGCCCUAUGGGUUGUAAACUUCUUUUAUAAAGGAAUAAAGUCGGGUAUGGAUACCCGUUUGCAUGUACUUUAUGAAUAAGGAUCGGCUAACUCCGUGCCAGCAGCCGCGGUAAUACGGAGGAUCCGAGCGUUAUCCGGAUUUAUUGGGUUUAAAGGGAGCGUAGGUGGAUUGUUAAGUCAGUUGUGAAAGUUUGCGGCUCAACCGUAAAAUUGCAGUUGAAACUGGCAGUCUUGAGUACAGUAGAGGUGGGCGGAAUUCGUGGUGUAGCGGUGAAAUGCUUAGAUAUCACGAAGAACUCCGAUUGCGAAGGCAGCUCACUAGACUGCAACUGACACUGAUGCUCGAAAGUGUGGGUAUCAAACAGGAUUAGAUACCCUGGUAGUCCACACAGUAAACGAUGAAUACUCGCUGUUUGCGAUAUACAGUAAGCGGCCAAGCGAAAGCAUUAAGUAUUCCACCUGGGGAGUACGCCGGCAACGGUGAAACUCAAAGGAAUUGACGGGGGCCCGCACAAGCGGAGGAACAUGUGGUUUAAUUCGAUGAUACGCGAGGAACCUUACCCGGGCUUAAAUUGCAUUUGAAUAAUCUGGAAACAGGUUAGCCGCAAGGCAAAUGUGAAGGUGCUGCAUGGUUGUCGUCAGCUCGUGCCGUGAGGUGUCGGCUUAAGUGCCAUAACGAGCGCAACCCUUGUUGUCAGUUACUAACAGGUUCUGCUGAGGACUCUGACAAGACUGCCAUCGUAAGAUGUGAGGAAGGUGGGGAUGACGUCAAAUCAGCACGGCCCUUACGUCCGGGGCUACACACGUGUUACAAUGGGGGGUACAGAGGGCCGCUACCACGCGAGUGGAUGCCAAUCCCCAAAACCUCUCUCAGUUCGGACUGGAGUCUGCAACCCGACUCCACGAAGCUGGAUUCGCUAGUAAUCGCGCAUCAGCCACGGCGCGGUGAAUACGUUCCCGGGCCUUGUACACACCGCCCGUCAAGCCAUGGGAGCCGGGGGUACCUGAAGUGCGUAACCGCGAGGAGCGCCCUAGGGUAAAACUGGUGACUGGGGCUA
RNAcentral lists this ribosomal RNA (1451 nucleotides) under uncultured bacterium. RNAcentral's name for it is "bacterial SSU rRNA". It matches the Rfam family "Bacterial small subunit ribosomal RNA". The record is from RNAcentral.